RNAcentral lists this ribosomal RNA (497 nucleotides) under uncultured bacterium. RNAcentral's name for it is "partial 16S ribosomal RNA". It matches the Rfam family "Bacterial small subunit ribosomal RNA", at positions 28 to 507 of the family's 1533-position model. The record is from RNAcentral.
GAUGAACGCUGGCGGCGUGCCUAAUACAUGCAAGUCGAGCGAACAGACUUGAACCUUGUUCCCCUGAUGUUAUCGGCCGACGGGUGUGUAACACUUGGAUCACCUCCGUAUACGACUGGGAUAACUUCAGAAAACUGGAUCUCAUACCCGAUAAUAUAUUGUACCGUAUGGUUCAAUAAUAAGAUACGGUUUCGCUGUUACUUCUAGAUGCUUCCGCGUCGCAUUAGGUAGUUGGUAAGGCUACGCCUUACCAAGGCAACGCUGCGUAGCCGACCUGAGAGGGUGAUCGGCCACACUGGAAGGGAGACACGGUCCAGACUCCUACGGGAGGCAGCAGUAGGGAAUGUUGAGAAAUGGGCGAAAGCUUGACGGAGCAACGCCGCGUGAGGGAUGAAGGUCUUCGGAGCGUAAAACUCUGUUAUUAGGGAAGAACAAAUGUGUAAGUAACUAUGCACGUCUUGAAGGUACCUAAUCAGAAAGCCACGGCUAACUACGUG